Molecule: ribosomal RNA, 537 nt
Filed under: uncultured bacterium
Lineage: Bacteria
Description: bacterial SSU rRNA
Rfam family: Bacterial small subunit ribosomal RNA
Source: RNAcentral
GGGGAGUCGGCCGCAAGGUUAAACUCAAAUGAAUUGACGGGGGCCCGCACAAGCGGUGGGCAGUGGUUUAAUUCGAUGCAACGCGAAGAACUUACCUGGUCUUGACAUCCAGGUGCUGCAUGGCUGUCGUCAGCUCGUGUUGUGAAAUGUUGGGUUAAGUCCCGCAACGAGCGCAACCCUUAUCCUUUGUUGCAACUCAAAGGAGACUGCCAGUGAUAAACUGGAGGAAGGUGGGGAUGACGUCAAGUCAUCAUGGCCCUUACGACCAGGGCUACACACGUGCUACAAUGGCGCAUACAAAGAGAAGCGACCUCGCGAGAGCAAGCGGACCUCAUAAAGUGCGUCGUAGUCCGGAUUGGAGUCUGCAACUCGACUCCAUGAAGUCGGAAUCGCUAGUAAUCGUGGAUCAGAUGCCACGGUGAAUACGUUCCCGGGCCUUGUACACACCGCCCGUCACACCAUGGGAGUGGGUUGCAAAAGAAGUAGGUUACCACUUUGUGAUUCAUGACUGGGGUGAAGUCGUAACAAGGUAACCGA